AUUGAACGCUGGCGGCAGGCCUAACACAUGCAAGUCGAGCGGAGGAAGGGAGCUUGCUCCUGGAUUCAGCGGCGGACGGGUGAGUAAUGCCUAGGAAUCUGCCUGGUAGUGGGGGAUAACGUCCGGAAACGGGCGCUAAUACCGCAUACGUCCUGAGGGAGAAAGUGGGGGAUCUUCGGACCUCACGCUAUCAGAUGAGCCUAGGUCGGAUUAGCUGGUUGGUGGGGUAAAGGCCUACCAAGGCGACGAUCCGUAACUGGUCUGAGAGGAUGAUCAGUCACACUGGAACUGAGACACGGUCCAGACUCCUACGGGAGGCAGCAGUGGGGAAUAUUGGACCAUGGGCGAAAGCCUGAUCCAGCCAUGCCGCGUGUGUGAAGAAGGUCUUCGGAUUGUAAAGCACUUUAAGUUGGGAGGAAGGGCAGUAAGUUAAUACCUUGCUGUUUUGACGUUACCAACAGAAUAAGCACCGGCUAACUUCGUG
RNAcentral lists this ribosomal RNA (484 nucleotides) under uncultured bacterium. Its description in RNAcentral is "partial 16S ribosomal RNA". It matches the Rfam family "Bacterial small subunit ribosomal RNA", at positions 30 to 507 of the family's 1533-position model. The record is from RNAcentral.